Molecule: long non-coding RNA, 2861 nt
Organism: Acinonyx jubatus (cheetah)
Lineage: Eukaryota; Metazoa; Chordata; Mammalia; Carnivora; Felidae
Exons: 4
Source: RefSeq, a predicted model, not a curated record
CUGACUAGUCGUUUCCUUUUGGGACCCUAAUGAGAGGAAACAACAGCGGCAGAUCACACGUGAAGAAAAGUCACAAAACCAGAAAGCAAACACAUUUAUACCCUGCACUCUAGAGAUAACGUGAACGAGUAGAAGGAGAAGAAAAUUACAACCCUGAUGUGAAAAGCAGGAUCUUGCGGGAAAGUGAGUGGAAGAGGCGGGUGGUGAAGUAGGUUCCUGGAUGGAUGGCUUGUAAAAGCCUCGAGGUUACAAAAGUACCUUCCGUGCAUUAUCUCUGUUGGGAGUCUGUACUGCUUCAAAACCUGCCCCAGCCAAGAAUUGAUAUUCAGGAAGUUAAGCUGAUGGAAAGGGUCCAGGAGAAAAAGAUGAAAGAGAAAGAAUGCUGCCGAAGACUAAGCUCUAGAACUGACCAGAGAUGAGAUUGAAGGCACAGAUCAAGUUAGUCUGAAACGGGAACCCUCUUGCACUGUUGCUGGGAAUGCAAACUGGUGCGGCCACUCUGGAAAACAGUGUGGAGGGUCCUCAAAAAAUUAAAAAUAGAUCUACCCUAUGACCCAGCAAUAGUACUGCUAGGAAUUUACCCAAGGGAUACAGGAGUGCUGAUGCAUAGGGGCACUUGUACCCCAAUGUUUAUAGCAGCACUCUCAACAAUAGGCAAAUCGUGGAAAGAGCCUAAAUGUCCAUCAACUGAUGAAUGGAUAAAGAAAUUGUGGUUUAUAUACACAAUGGAAUACUACUUAGCAAUGAGAAAGAAUGAAAUAUGGCCCUUUGUAGCAACGUGGAUGGAACUGGAGAGUGUGAUGCUAAGUGAAAUAAGCCAUACAGAGAAAGAUACCAUAUGUUUUCACUCUUACGUGGAUCCUGAGAAACUUAACAGAAGACCAUGGGGGAGGGGAAGGGGGAAAAAAAGUUAGGGAGGGAGCCAAACCAUAAGAGACUCUUAAAAACUGAGAACAAUCUGAGGAUUGAUGGGGGGUGGGAGAGAGGGGAGGGUGGGUGAUGGGCAUGGAGGAGGGCACCUGUUGGGAUGAGCACUGCGUGUUGCAUGGAAACCAAGUUGACAAUAAAUUAUAUUUUAAAAAACAGAAGUCUUUUUUUUAAUGUUUAUUUAUUUAUUUUGAGAGAGAGGAAGACAGAGCAUGUGAGUGGAGGACAGGCAGAGAGAGAGAGAGAGAGAGAGAGAGAGAGAGAGAGAGAAUCCAAGCAGGCUUACCGCUGUCAGCACAGAGCCUGAAGCAACGUGGGGCUCCAUCCUGCCAACCGUUGAGAUUGUGACCCGAGCAGAAAUCAAGAGUUAGACACUCAACUGACUGAGUCACCCAGGCUCCCUAAGAAGUUGGUCUUAAAGUGCUGAGAGAAAGAAUAGGAGAAAGACAUUUGUCUACUACUCCACAUAUUGUUUAAUACCUGCCUCUGAAUCUUAAGAAUAUACAAGAUACAUGCAAAUGAGCAUUAAUCUUAGGAUCCACAACAUCCAGCAUUUUCUUAAAAGGGACCAUAACCACAAAAGCACACGCAUCAAUAGUGUACUCAAAAUAUCUUUCAUAUUUACCAGUUUAUGAUUACACUUUAAAAGUCAGAACUAGUUUUUAUCACCUUUAAUUAAACGGUGCAACUUCAUUUCAUAGGUGGAAAUGAAACAUUUGUUCUUUCAAAUAUUUUUUUAUUUUUAAUUUUAAUUUUAAUUUUUUUAAAUUUACAUCCAAAUUAGUCAGCAUAUAGUGCAACAAUGAUUUCAGGAGUAGAUUCCUUAGUGCCCCUGACCCAUUUAGCCCAUCCCCCCCACACCCCCUCCAGCAGCCCUCAGUUUGUUCUCCGUAUUUAAGAGUCUCUUCUGUUUUGUCCCCCUCCCUGUUUUUAUAUUAUUUUUGUUUCCCUUCCCUUAUAUUCAUCUUUUUUGUCUCUUAAAGUCCUCAUAUGAGUGAAGUCUUAUGAUUGUUGUCUUUCUCUGACUAAUUUCACUUAGCAUAAUACCCUCCAGUUCCAUCUACGUAGUUGCAAAUGGCAAGAUUUCAUUCUUUCUGAUUGCUGAGUAAUGCUCCAUUGUAUAUUACAUACCACAUCUUCUUUAUCCAUUUAUCCAUCGAUGGUCAUUUGGGCUCUUUCCAUACUGUGGUUAUUGUCGAUAGUGCUGCUAUAAACAUGGGGGUGCAUGUGCCCCUUCGCAACAGCACACCUGUAUCCCGUGGAUAAAUGCCUAGUAGUGCAAUUGCUGGGUCAUAGGGUAGUUCUAGUUUUAAUUUUUUGAGGAACCUCCAUACUGUUUUCCAGAGUGGCUGCACCAGUUUGCAUUCCCACCAGCAAUGCAACAGCAUCCCUCUUUCUCCGCAUCCUCGCCAACACCUGUUGCCUGAGUUGCUAAUGUUAGCCAUUCUGACAGGGGUGAGAUGGUAUCGCAUUGUGGUUUUGAUUUAUAUUUCCCUGAUUCUGAGUAAUGUGGAGCAUGUUUUCAUGUGUCAGUUGGCCAUCUGGAUGUCUUCUUUGGAGAAGUGUCUAUUCAUGUCUUUUGCUCAUUUCUUCACAGGAUUCUUUGUAUUUUGGGUGUUGAGUUUGAUAAAUUCUUUAUAGAUUUUGGAUACUAACCCUUUAUCUGAUAUGUUGUUUGCAAAUAUCUUCUCCCAUUAGGUCAGUUGCCUUUUAGUUUUGCUGAUCGUAUUUUUUUUUUUAACUUUUAUUUAUUUUUGAGGGAGAGACAGUGUGCAUAGAGGGAGACAGAGAAUCCGAAACAGGCUCCAUGCUAUCAGUGCAAAGCCCGAUGUGGGGCUCGAACCCACGAACUGUCAGAUCAUGACUAGAGCCAAAGUAGGACACUCAAUCGACUGAGCCACCCAGGUGCCCCACAAAUAGUUUUUUAAAGUAUG